GUGGGGAAUAUUGGGCAAUGGGCGAAAGCCUGACCCAGCGACGCCGCGUGGGUGAUGAAGGCCUUCGGGUUGUAAAGCCCUGUCAUGCGGAAAGAACAGUCUUGUAGUGAAUAACUGCAAGAUUUGACGGUACCGCAGGAGGAAGCACCGGCUAACUCCGUGCCAGCAGCCGCGGUAAUACGGAGGGUGCAAGCGUUGUUCGGAAUUAUUGGGCGUAAAGGGCGCGUAGGCGGUAAUGAAAGUCAGAUGUGAAAUACUUCGGCUCAACUGAAGAACUGCAUCUGAAACUUCAUAACUAGAGUACGGAAGAGGGAAAUGGAAUUCCCGGUGUAGAGGUGAAAUUCGUAGAUAUCGGGAGGAACACCAGUGGCGAAGGCGAUUUCCUGGUCUGGUACUGACGCUGAGGCGCGAAAGUGUGGGGAGCAAACAGGAUUAGAUACCCUAGUAGUCC
This 451-nucleotide ribosomal RNA is filed under the name uncultured bacterium. RNAcentral describes it as "partial 16S ribosomal RNA". It matches the Rfam family "Bacterial small subunit ribosomal RNA", at positions 354 to 796 of the family's 1533-position model. The record is from RNAcentral.